GAUGAACGCUAGCGGCAGGCCUAAUACAUGCAAGUCAAGGGGACCAGCAAUGGUCACCGGCGGACGGGUGCGUAACGCGUACACAACCUACCCUUAAGAGGGAGAUAGCGGCGGGAAACUGCCGGUAAUACCCCAUGGUAUUAUUGAAUCGCCUGGUUUGAUAAUUAAAGUUCCGGCGCUUAAGGAUGGGUGUGCGUCUGAUUAGCUAGUUGGCGAGGUAACGGCUCACCAAGGCGACGAUCAGUAGGGGGGUGUGAGGGCAUGGCCCCCCACACGGGUACUGAGACACGGACCCGACUCCUACGGGAGGCAGCAGUAAGGAAUAUUGGACAAUGGACGGAAGUCUGAUCCAGCCAUGCCGCGUGAAGGAAGAAGGCGCUCAGCGUUGUAAACUUCUUUUGGAUGGGAAGAAAUCGCACGGGUUAAUACCCUGUGUGGAUGACGGUACCGGAAUAAGAAGCACCGGCUAACUACGUG
Molecule: ribosomal RNA, 477 nt
Filed under: uncultured bacterium
Lineage: Bacteria
Description: bacterial SSU rRNA
Rfam family: Bacterial small subunit ribosomal RNA
Source: RNAcentral